This 176-nucleotide non-coding RNA is filed under the name Anaerolineae bacterium. RNAcentral's name for it is "6S RNA". It matches the Rfam family "6S / SsrS RNA". Rfam says of the family: E. coli 6S RNA was the first non coding RNA to be sequenced, but its function was unknown until recently. It consists of 184 nucleotides that fold into an extended hairpin structure with a large single-stranded internal bulge. The 6S RNA specifically associates with RNA polymerase holoenzyme containing the sigma70 specificity factor. Lineage: Bacteria; Bacillati; Chloroflexota; Anaerolineae. The record is from RNAcentral.
CUCAACCUGCCGUGCCCGUGAUGCCGCACCACGCUUUUGAGCCAACACUCAAUGAUCUGGGCGUCGGGUCUGCGGUGACAAGCGAUAGGCGCAAGCCAAGGCUGAAGCACUGAGUGAGACGCCCUACCUGCGAAAGCAGGUUCAAAACGGGCAGCACACGGCAUGGCGGGUACUUU